AAGCCAGCCAAUUCUGCGGCGAGUGAGGAAAACCGGUGAGACUCCGGUGCGGUCGCGCCACUGUAAGCCGAACCCCGUCACGGGCAGGCGAGUCAGGACGCUCACGCGCCGCAGGCCCCAUCGAUCGGGACGCGUCAUCCCGAAGGAGGAAC
RNAcentral lists this small RNA (152 nucleotides) under Actinoplanes derwentensis. Lineage: Bacteria; Bacillati; Actinomycetota; Actinomycetes; Micromonosporales; Micromonosporaceae. The record is from RNAcentral.